AACCCCUGUGACAUACCUAUACGUUGCCUCGGCGGAUCAGCCCGCGCCCCGUAAAAAGGGACGGCCCGCCCGAGGACCCCUAAACUCUGUUUUUAGUGGAACUUCUGAGUAAAACAAACAAAUAAAUCAAAACUUUCAACAACGGAUCUCUUGGUUCUGGCAUCGAUGAAGAACGCAGCAAAAUGCGAUAAGUAAUGUGAAUUGCAGAAUUCAGUGAAUCAUCGAAUCUUUGAACGCACAUUGCGCCCGCCAGUAUUCUGGCGGGCAUGCCUGUUCGAGCGUCAUUUCAACCCUCAAGCUCAGCUUGGUGUUGGGACUCGCGGUAACCCGCGUUCCCCAAAUCGAUUGGCGGUCACGUCGAGCUUCCAUAGCGUAGUAAUCAUACACCUCGUUACUGGUAAUCGUCGCGGCCACGCCGUAAAACCCCAACUUCUGAAUGUUGACCUCGGAUCAGGUAGGAAUACCCGCUGAACUUAAGCAUAUC
This 484-nucleotide ribosomal RNA is filed under the name Fusarium fujikuroi. RNAcentral's name for it is "eukaryotic LSU rRNA". The stretch from base 131 to 284 matches the Rfam family "5.8S ribosomal RNA". Lineage: Eukaryota; Fungi; Ascomycota; Sordariomycetes; Hypocreales; Nectriaceae. The record is from RNAcentral. RNAcentral also lists the same sequence under 3 other names.